RNAcentral lists this long non-coding RNA (330 nucleotides) under Homarus americanus (American lobster). Its description in RNAcentral is "uncharacterized LOC121866484, transcript variant X3". The record is from RNAcentral. Lineage: Eukaryota; Metazoa; Arthropoda; Malacostraca; Decapoda; Nephropidae.
UAAUCCAACAGUCAAAUGUGCAUCAUCAAUGGAUAUGAAGAGCAGUUUAAGCGUUAAGUUUAAAGUAAACUCCACAACACUCUCUUCAUGUGAACUCUAGGCAUCCUUGGUAGACUCUUACGUAUGUCAACUGGCCAAACCUGCCAGCUUCAAGUUUAAAGGCCAAGCCAACAAAAGUAUGGCUAUUAUCACGUGCAGAAUGCAACAGGAUCUUCUUUUCCUCACUGAAAUGGAAAGUGCUGUUCCCACAAAAACUGGUGUGAAGGUUUGCUUGAGGCAGGCACGGCGAAUACCAGCAUGAAGCUCUGCCUCUGUUGGUGUCUUUUCCUC